Molecule: long non-coding RNA, 910 nt
Organism: Neofelis nebulosa (Clouded leopard)
Lineage: Eukaryota; Metazoa; Chordata; Mammalia; Carnivora; Felidae
Exons: 2
Source: RefSeq, a predicted model, not a curated record
CGCCGCGGUUGGAAGCCGUGCGUUCGGUGUUCCUUGAAGCCUUGGCGGAAUCGUUUCCGCCCUCGACUGGUGCUAAGUGAGAAAACCGAGCUCCUGCAGGCAGGGCCUUGCACGUAUUCACUCAGCGAGAAACUCCCCUGAGACCAGCGCGCUCCCACACGGCUCAGCGGAGGGACAGCCCCUAUGGAAGCAUUCCUCCGCCUGGGGGGCCGCCCGAGGCUGGUCUCCCAGAAAUACCCCCUUUCACAGAUGGGGAAAACGAAACCCAGAGAGAGGCAAAUGGAACAUGAAACCUUUUGAAAGGCUCCAGUGAGAAAUCUGUUCAAACUCCCUGCCAGCUGCUGUCACUUUAAAAGCCACAGACGCAUCUCCCCAGUGAACCUGCCUCAGACAAGGUAAUGAGUUAGGCCUAGAUCUCACUGCAGCCAGCGGUCUUAGCAGGGCAUCUGCUGCCUUUGGAAGCAGACCCCCGCUUCCAGCAGAAGAACCUAUGUUUGCCCUCUCCUUCCCUUUCCUCCAAAAAAGCAGGAGUGGGUCCAGGUCUGCUUGGGCAUCAAAACGGAAGUCUCAGAAAUGGCCUCAUAGACGAGGGCUGAGCCCGGCAUGGUAAUAUGUAAAACCUGGUUGUGGGUGAAUAACUAAGGGGCAGUAGAGUGGCCCUUUCUGAUUGGUCCCUGAAUCUCUUGGUGUCCUGUCAGCCUAUUUAGUGUCAAAGUAUCAAAAAGUAGGCCAAGCCUGGAAAAGAUAUCUCUGCUUUUGACAAGCACCCAGUUCACUCAGAACACACUGCCUCAUUAGAUGACCUCAGAGCCACACGCAGGACCCAGGACUGGCUGAGAUGCUGAGACAGGAUGACGAGAUAUGAUAUUAUGACUUACAAUAAUAAAUGUAUAUUUUGUUUUCACCCCCA